Molecule: ribosomal RNA, 423 nt
Filed under: uncultured Blautia sp.
Lineage: Bacteria; Bacillati; Bacillota; Clostridia; Lachnospirales; Lachnospiraceae
Description: bacterial SSU rRNA
Rfam family: Bacterial small subunit ribosomal RNA
Source: RNAcentral
GGGGAAUAUUGGGCAAUGGGCGAAAGCCUGACCCAGCAACGCCGCGUGAAGGAAGAAGGUUUUCGGAUUGUAAACUUCUUUUAUCAGGGACGAAGAAAGUGACGGUACCUGAUGAAUAAGCCACGGCUAACUACGUGCCAGCAGCCGCGGUAAUACGUAGGUGGCAAGCGUUAUCCGGAUUUACUGGGUGUAAAGGGAGCGUAGACGGAGUGGCAAGUCUGAUGUGAAAGGCAUGGGCUCAACCUGUGGACUGCAUUGGAAACUGUCAAUCUUGAGUGCCGGAGGGUAAGCGGAAUUCCUAGUGUAGCGGUGAAAUGCGUAGAUAUUAGGAGGAACACCAGUGGCGAAGGCGGCUUACUGGACGGUAACUGACGUUGAGGCUCGAAAGCGUGGGGAGCAAACAGGAUUAGAUACCCUGGUAGU